Molecule: ribosomal RNA, 439 nt
Filed under: uncultured bacterium
Lineage: Bacteria
Description: bacterial SSU rRNA
Rfam family: Bacterial small subunit ribosomal RNA
Source: RNAcentral
UACGGAAGGCAGCAGUGGGGAAUAUUGCACAAUGGGCGCAAGCCUGAUGCAGCCAUGCCGCGUGUAUGAAGAAGGCCUUCGGGUUGUAAAGUACUUUCAGUCGUGAGGAAGGUGUUAAGGUUAAUAACCUUAGCAAUUGACGUUAGCGACAGAAGAAGCACCGGCUAACUCCGUGCCAGCAGCCGCGGUAAUACGGAGGGUGCGAGCGUUAAUCGGAAUUACUGGGCGUAAAGGGCACGCAGGCGGUUAAUUAAGUUGGAUGUGAAAUCCCCGGGCUUAACCUGGGAAUGGCAUUCAAGACUGGUUAGCUAGAGUCUUGUAGAGGGGGUAGAAUUCCAUGUGUAGCGGUGAAAUGCGUAGAGAUGUGGAGGAAUACCGGUGGCGAAGGUGGCCCCUGGACAAAGACUGACGCUCAUGUGCGAAAGCGUGGGGAGCAAAC